UACGUAGGGUCCAAGCGUUAAUCGGAAUUACUGGGCGUAAAGCGUGUGCAGGCGGUUUCGAAAGUCCGAUGUGAAAUCCCCGAGCUUAACUUGGGAACUGCGUUGGAAACUACGAGGCUAGAGUGCGGCAGAGGGGGGUGGAAUUCCAGGUGUAGCAGUGAAAUGCGUAGAGAUCUGGAGGAACACCGAUGGCGAAGGCAGCCCCCUGGGUUAGCACUGACGCUGAGACACGAAAGCGUGGGGAGCAAACAGG
This 253-nucleotide ribosomal RNA is filed under the name uncultured bacterium. RNAcentral describes it as "partial 16S ribosomal RNA". It matches the Rfam family "Bacterial small subunit ribosomal RNA", at positions 524 to 776 of the family's 1533-position model. The record is from RNAcentral. RNAcentral also lists the same sequence under 1 other name.